ACUUGUUCAGCUUGUGUCCGUUGCUGCUUUGCUCUGUUCCACCUUGCACUGGAUGGCUUGCACUGCAUUUAAAGUGAUAAACUGAAAGAUUCCAAGUGCUGUUCACUUCUCCAUGCAAAGAGGAUUCAAGUAAGUAGUCUUGGAUACAAAGCACAAAUAUAAUGGAUUUUUUUUUUUUUUUGCAAAACAGAAUGUUUCAAAGUAAUAUUUAGC
Molecule: long non-coding RNA, 213 nt
Filed under: Callithrix jacchus (white-tufted-ear marmoset)
Lineage: Eukaryota; Metazoa; Chordata; Mammalia; Primates; Cebidae
Description: lncRNA (ENSCJAG00000074767.1)
Source: RNAcentral